GUUUAUUAGGGGGUUGGUUGGAAGGAUGGUCUAAACCGUUGGUUUUCGACCGCUACGACCCGGGUUCGAUUCCCGCAUUGGACA
This 84-nucleotide transfer RNA is filed under the name Cordylochernes scorpioides. Its description in RNAcentral is "tRNA-Glu". Lineage: Eukaryota; Metazoa; Arthropoda; Arachnida; Pseudoscorpiones; Chernetidae. The record is from RNAcentral.